CAGGGAUUGCCUCAGUAACGGCGAGUGAAGCGGCAAGAGCUCAAAUUUGAAAGCUGGCCCCCUCGGGGUCCGCGUUGUAAUUUGCAGAGGAUGCUUCGGGUGCAGCCCCCGUCUAAGUGCCCUGGAACGGGCCGUCAUAGAGGGUGAGAAUCCCGUCUGGGACGGGGUGUCUGCGUCCGUGUGAAGCUCCUUCGACGAGUCGAGUUGUUUGGGAAUGCAGCUCUAAAUGGGUGGUAAAUUUCAUCUAAAGCUAAAUACUGGCCGGAGACCGAUAGCGCACAAGUAGAGUGAUCGAAAGAUGAAAAGCACUUUGAAAAGAGAGUUAAACAGCACGUGAAAUUGUUGAAAGGGAAGCGUUUGCGACCAGACUCGCCCGCGGGGUUCAGCCGGCACUCGUGCCGGUGUACUUCCCCGUGGGCGGGCCAGCGUCGGUUUGGGCGGCCGGUCAAAGGCCCUCGGAAUGUAUCACCUCUCGGGGUGUCUUAUAGCCGAGGGUGCAAUGCGGCCUGCCCGGACCGA
Molecule: ribosomal RNA, 519 nt
Filed under: Neosartorya sp.
Lineage: Eukaryota; Fungi; Ascomycota; Eurotiomycetes; Eurotiales; Aspergillaceae
Description: LSU rRNA
Rfam family: Eukaryotic large subunit ribosomal RNA
Source: RNAcentral